Non-coding RNA from Triticum aestivum (bread wheat), 127 nucleotides. The record is from Rfam. NCBI's taxonomy places the organism in Eukaryota, Viridiplantae, Streptophyta, Magnoliopsida, Poales, Poaceae.
CUCAUACUCUCUCCGUCCGAAAAAGUUUGUCUCAAGCUUGUCUUUCAAAUGGAUGUAUCUAGCACUAACUUAGUGUUAGAUAUAUUCAUUUGAUGGACAAGUUUUUUUAAGACGGAGAGAGUAUUUC